CUUUGUGAUAUGCUCUCAAAGAGUCGAGUUGUUUGGGAAUGCAGCUCAAAAUGGGUGGUAAAUUCCAUCUAAAGCUAAAUAUUGGCGAGAGACCGAUAGCGAACAAGUACCGUGAGGGAAAGAUGAAAAGCACUUUGGAAAGAGAGUUAAACAGUACGUGAAAUUGUUGAAAGGGAAACGCUUGAAGUCAGUCGCGUUGUCCGGGACUCAGCCUUGCUAUUUGCUUGGUGUACUUCCUGGUUGACGGGUCAACAUCAAUUUUGGUUGGUGGAUAAAGGCCGAGAGAAGGUGGCAUCUUCGGAUGUGUUAUAGCUCUUGGUUGUAUACGCUGGCUGGGAUUGAGGUCUGCAGCACGCCUUUUUGGCCGGGGUUCGCCCACGUAACGUGCUUAGGAUGUUGGCAUAAUGGCUUUAAGCGACCCGUCUUGAAACACGGACCAAGGAGUCUAACAUGCCUGCGAGUAUUAGAGUGGAAAACUCUUGUGCGAAAUGAAAGUGAAAGUUGGGACUCUUCGCGGAGGCACCAACGCCCGGCCCUGAAGUUUACUGACGGUGCUGCGGUAGAGCAUGUAUGUUGGGACCCGAAAGAUGGUGAACUAUGCCUGAAUAGGGUGAAGCCAGGGGAAACUCUGGUGGAGGCUCGUAGCGAUUCUGACGUGCAAAUCGAUCGUCAAAUUUGGGUAUAGGGGCGAAAGACUAAUC
This 701-nucleotide ribosomal RNA is filed under the name Lyomyces crustosus. Its description in RNAcentral is "LSU rRNA". It matches the Rfam family "Eukaryotic large subunit ribosomal RNA", at positions 242 to 936 of the family's 3401-position model. Lineage: Eukaryota; Fungi; Basidiomycota; Agaricomycetes; Hymenochaetales; Schizoporaceae. The record is from RNAcentral.